UGGUUCUGGCAUCGAUGAAGAACGCAGCGAAAUGCGAUAAGUAAUGUGAAUUGCAGAAUUCAGUGAAUCAUCGAAUCUUUGAACGCACAUUGCGCCCAUUAGUAUUCUAGUGGGCAUGCCUGUUCGAGCGUCAUUAAGUCCACUUAAGCCUUUUGCUUAGCAUUGGGAGUCUACUUUCUUGUAGUUCCUCAAAGACAGCGGCGGAGUCGUGGUUUUGCUCUGAGCUUAGUAAAUUUUUCUAGCUUUUGAGUGCCCGCUUCCCUUGCCGUAAAACACCUAUUUUUUUAAUGGUUGACCUCGGAUCAGGUAGGAAUACCCGCUGA
Molecule: unclassified non-coding RNA, 323 nt
Filed under: uncultured fungus
Lineage: Eukaryota; Fungi
Description: partial contains 5.8S ribosomal RNA and internal transcribed spacer 2
Rfam family: 5.8S ribosomal RNA (bases 1-133)
Source: RNAcentral